Chelonia mydas (Green sea turtle) is the source of this 6539-nucleotide long non-coding RNA. RefSeq lists it as uncharacterized. NCBI's taxonomy places the organism in Eukaryota, Metazoa, Chordata, Testudines, Cheloniidae. The record is from RefSeq and is a predicted model, not a curated record. The transcript has 2 exons.
ACCACUGCCCGCACCCCCUCCCACACCACAACCCCAAUUUUGUGAGCAUUUAUGGCCCGCCAUACAAUUUCUAUUUCCCCAAUGUGGCCUUCGGGCCAAAAAGUUUGCCCACCCCUGAUUUAGAGAGAGAUAAACAGAGGGGGAAAUAUAUGAUGGGGGCAGUGUAAUACACUUCUUAUCUCAUGUUUUAGGGGUGACUACCCAACUCCCAGACAGAGUGUUCAAUACAUGUAAGUCUCAACAUCAUGCAUUACACAGUAUUAUACCAUCCCAGAGGGGGUAUGUGCAGAAAUACUGAUAUAGCAAUCAAUGUUUUUAAGAAUUUUUAGUUGCUAAUGUUGUAUGGGCCUAGUUCUUGAAGUAUAAUGUACUGGUGUUUUUUUUUCCUCAUGGGUAUGGUAGAAGAAAGACACACAUGCUAUAGUGACUAUAUGGAAAAACUACAUUACUAUCACUUAAAAAAUAUGGUUGACCCAUAGAAUUCCAUUCACCAUGGUUAACAGUGGCCACCAUUUUGCAUUCGCCCUUGAAUAGGAGUAAGUGCUUGCAAACAGUUGAUACCUUUUUAAAAAAAAUCCUGUUCCUGUUGGAAAGCGCCUGUUUGAGCCUGGGCAAUAUUCAGAUGUGUUUCACUUUCAAAGGGGAUUGAGCACUAAGUGUCCACCCACUCUUCCAGCUCCAAAAUGGUGGCCAAAGCCACUCCUGUAGAUCACUGCAAAAUCAUAAAGUUUGUCCAGUGGGGCCACCGUACUUUUCAACUGACUGGUCCAUACGUGAUGGUUGCUCUUUAUUAUGGAACAUUUUCUGUAUGAGUAAAGAAAGGCAGGUGGUUGAUGAAUUGGGGAGGUCUUGUCUUCUAAAAAGGGAAGACUGUUUUGGUAACAUGGAUGUAAUUUUUGUAUUGUGUACUCACAUUUUACAUAUAUAUAUACUUCAUAAAGCAAAAAUCAGUACAUUCAUUACGUUCACACAGUAUCCUGUCACUCACGCCAAGUUCUGUACUAAAGAUGACAAAUCACAAGUUAUCUGACAAUAACAAGAACCUCUUAUUCCCACACAUUUCAUUUUCCACAACUGUUGUCUAAAGCAGUUGCAUGUCAUAACAACAGCGGGAUAUAUAUAUAUAUAUAUAUAUAUAAAGCAUCCAUUCGCUCACACACAGGUGCAUGCACACACGUACUUACACACACACACACACACACACCAUAUAGUUUUUGUUUCACCCACUGUUGUUAUGACAUGCAACUGCUUUACACAACAGUUGUGGAAAAUGAAAUGUGUGGGAAUAAGAGGUUCUUGUUAUUGUCAGAUAACUUGUGAUUUGUCAUCUCAUCAAUAAAAUAACACAUAGAUGUGCAUUAAGCAAGAAAAAAAUGCACAUGGAAACAGCUCCACAUCCACUACAUCUGUAUAUGGGAGCUGUGCAGAUGCACACUCAGUGUAAACACAAACACAGAGAACAAUGGUGGUAGUUGAAAGAUUGCCUGUUACCUCACAGCAAUUUAAACCAAUUCAGCGUCACCUGGGUUGCAGUGUAUUGUCUUAUCUUUAGUACAGUACUUGGCCUGAGUGACAGGAUAUUGUAUGAACUUAAUGAAUGUACUGAUUUUUGCUUUAUGAAGUAGCUUUCCUCAUGCAAUAUUCCUGUAGAAAAAUAAACCUCCCCGCUCCACACACAGAUGCACACACACAAUCUGGAGAACCUUUAGCCUUUUUCUUUUCCCCUCAUCAGUAGCCUUAGAGAAAAGAUAGCCGAGCUUCAGUAUAAGAGUCGUUUGUCUCAAUGUGACUUGCAGCCAGACCUGAAUAUGAGGUAUUUAGAAUUUCAUUUACCUCCUCCCUUGUUGCAUUAGUAAUCAGUUCUGCUUGGCCAUAAGGCAGUUUUCCUACUCUCUCUGCUCCCCCUCUCUCCCCCCAGUCACAUCACUUAUAUAGACUCUCAUGUCAUGUAGACUUUAAUUUUUUCCAGCCUUAUACUGUGUCCCAUUCAUUGUGUUAAUAACCAAAUCUCUUUAUUUGCUACAUUGUCAUCACUGUACUUUCCGCUCCUGUUUGCCUCCCAUGCUGUCAGGAAUGCAGUGUUGUUAAAUUUCAUUCUGAAAACUGGAACGGAAUCUUGACUUAGCCCUUUGUUGGGGGUGAUACUAUCUGAGGCUGACUUGUCAUUUGUAUGCACAAGAGCCAAUCAUGUGGAACCUUAUGAGGGUGGAAGGACAUGGACCCUCUAUGGUAUGGAAAAUCCCUGGGGCGUAAUUGAUUUAAACAGUUACCUGUAAGACUCCCUCCAAUUUUACUUCUCUAGCAUACUUCAUGGGAACAUCAGAGAGCACUUUGCAAAUGAUAAAACCAGAUGAAAUGGAAAAAAGUUAGAGAAAAAUCAAUGCUAACCAAAUCAUUUUAAAAGGUUUUCUAAGUCUAACUAGGGACUUGCCCUUGGUAGCUAUUCAUCUCAGUGUCAAGGGGUGAAAGCAUGCUGGGGAGGUUAUUGUGCUUUGACAACUUUUCAGUAUAACUAAUGUAGACUUCCGAAGAAAGGCCAGGGCAGCGAUGGCUCCAAGAAUAUCUGCUUUGGAAGCGGGAGAAAUGGAACCGCCCUCAGAAGAAGCAACUAGGGUGGAUAGAUGAGCACUGUGUUGGAGGGCCCCAUCAAGAACAGUUCUUCCUUGUCAGUCUUCAUUCAGAGCCGUAGUAUCGGAAUGAAAACUAUGUCAAGACAAUGAGCAGGGAUGGAUGUAACCAUGCUGUGAUCAUAAAAACCUGAGACUGCCUUUGUCAUUGCUACCCCCAAGCCAUUGACUCUGCUGCUUUGAUGGACCGCUCCAAAGGAUCCCUAUAUGGCAGCAAGAGCAAUCAAAGUCAUGGUGUUUUAGGCACAGCUAGGUCGGAUGUGGAGCACAGGUGGAGUCAAGCCCUGAACAGAACAUCUGGCAGCUGCCAGUUCCACAGCAGUGAGUGUUGGCAAUAGGCACAAUGGGCUGCUGUCUCCUGCAGGGCCACUGGGUGUCUAUGUGGCACUAAGGAUACUCUAACAAGAAACAGGAGACCUACUGUGAGGCCUGUCCUUCCUGCAGCGCUCAGACAGACACCUCAUCCCCAUCUCAGGGAUGAAGGAGAAUGUGGGGCCAAUGUGAGGGAGUCGGAACAGCCCCUACUGGAGAAAGACAGGCCCCUAAUGGAUCCCAGAGGGGAGAGGAAAAAAAGAACAGACUCUCCACUCCAGAAGACAGGAAAAAACUAUGGGAUCCCCCUUCUCCCAGAGGAGAAAACAGGCCCCUGGCAUUUCAAAGGGGAGCAAUAUGAGAGAGAAAAGAAUGGUGGAGGAAGGUGAGAACACAGGGAACGAAAGGGAAAGGGGAAAGAAGAGCUGAGAGGGAGAGAAAGGGUUAAGAAAGCAGAGAGGGAGAAAAAGAAACUGAGAUCAAUGUACCAGGAAGGAAUGUGAGAAAAUAUAGAUGGGCAAGAUAGGGAGAUGACAACUAAGGAGGUGAAGACAGGUUGAAUCAGAUAGAAGAGAAACCUGAAGAAAUGCCCUGGGUGCAUUAGAAAUGCCAGAGAGAGCUAGUCAGAUGAAGGAUAGGAAAAUGGGCAGAGAAAAAAAAUAAUAGAAAUGUUCUCAAAUUCACAGACUAACUAGACUGAAGAAAAGAGACAGUGCAGAGGGGGAGAAGAAGGAAGGAUAGAUUUUAAUUCCACUGAAAAGCUUAAUGUCAAAUGUUACAAUAAGAUACACAUAAAUGUUAUUUUUUAGGUAUAUGGGGACAUGGUAGUUUAGGGGCUUGGGAACCAUGUUUGGAGAUGGGAUGUGUGAGUGGGGAGCAUAGGAUAGGGGUCUAGCAUUCAUGUGCAUGGGGCUACAGAUUAAUCCCAGGGGAAGUGCCUUCCCAGUGGUGAUAUUGCACUGGGUGAUGUUUAUACCCACUUUUGCAAGCAUAUUAUGGGAAAUAUGCAAAUAAGUUUGGAGGCCCAAUGGUUUUGAUUGAUAUGAACCUCAUUUUGUCUCCAUCUGCCCCAGAACUAGAAAGCUUUUAUGUACAUCUGACACCAGAGACCAUUGGUGUCUACCACCAAUAACUUAUUGACCCAAAGGUGCAUGUAAAUCUAGACAAGCAGAAACCAAACUCUCCCCAGGGACAUCUUUGAAACCAUACGUGUAAUGAUAGAAGAGCAAGGGCCACAGUAACAAACUGCAGGUGUUCAGGCAGAUAAGACUGAAGCUAGGUGAGUCCAUACCAGAUAAAUGAAUUAAUGCAAUGCUCCAAACAUUGUGUCCCACAUAAGAGUGCAAUGGGAACACAAAAUCCCAGAACUGCAGAUAUCCCUAGAGCACCACCGCUUCCCACAGCUCCCAUUGGCCAGGAAUGGUGAACCGCGGCCAUUGGGAGCUGCGAGUGGCCGUACCUGCGGACACUCAGGUAAACAAAGUAUACUGCGGCCCGCUAGGGGCUUACCCUGAACAAGCUGCGAACCAAGUUUGGGAACCCCUGCCCUAGAGUAGUCCCCCAUGCUUUUAGUGGGGAAAGCCAACAGCAGACUGAGAUCUGUUAAAUAACUUAUUCUAUUAGCGAUGCCAAUGGAAUUAGGUGGUUGUCUCCUUCUCAAAUAUCUGUUAAAGGGAAUGGGGUAGUUAACAGAAUUUCCCCGGAGAACCUAGUUUUCCUUACAAACUCAUAUCACUUUAAAAUAAGACAAUACCUUCUCUUCCCCCGCACCCCACCAUUGGCCUGGAACAGCGAACCGCGGCCAAUGGGAGCUGCGAUCGGCUGAACCUGCGGACGCUGCAGGUAAACAAACCAUCCCAACCCGCCAGUGGGUUUCCCUGAUGGGCUGCGUGCCAAAGGUUGCCGAUCCCUGACUUAGAGUCAGAUAACUGGACACUUUUGGGACAUGGCAAAACCUCCAAAAGGAACAUAUGAGAACCAUUAAACCCACAUGAUGGCAUAUGGAAGAUGUAGGAAGUCCCAGACCCUUGCAAAUUGUAGUCAGGGCACUAAGAAAGGAAGCAGAAUCAAAUUGUCUCUACUUUCUCAGGGAAGUCAAAGGAGAACACACUAAGGCUGUGGAGGGUACAAAGGUGGAGAGAGGAACAUGUUACAGGAUGAUUUUCCAGGCUAGGAUCCUGGCCAGUCUGUUGCCAUUAAUAAAUAUGAGACCCUUGAACAGCAAAACCAGCUUCUAAGAGGAAAGUGACAGGAGAGAAAGCCAUAGCCAUGUUACAUGGCUACAGUGGCCCCAGAAUGUGACACAGCCCCCUCUGUUUUGACACUGAAGUUCAGUUGCUCUUACAAGAAGACAGAGCCUCAUCCUAUACCCAGACAUCUCUCUACAGCUCUCCAUCCCUCAGUGCUCUCCCCUUUCCUCUAUGAGCCUAGAUUGCUCCCACUCCAGAAGAUCUUGAAGGUUCAGAAGGUGACACUCCUCUCACUCAGCACAGAACCAAUACCACAGCUCCAUGCUGAAGGGCUCCAUGCUGUUGGAGGUGUCCUUGUUCACACUUGUGCUUGUUGAAAAAAAAACACUCCUGUCAUUUUUUGCAUCAGGAGGGCUGUUCGCUCUGGCCAAAUUUUUAUGAGAGAAAUUACAUUCUACCUAAAUUCUCCCAGGAGCGUCAGUUAUAUGUGAUAUUAUUCCUCACUUGAUGUCCUAAACUGUUCUGUUGUUCUAAUGCAUGUGUUAUUAAAAAGUUGCUAUGGUCAACUUCAGCGGUGUCCUCAUUUCAGCUAUGACUUGAUUCCUGUAUGUACUGGGUAUAGUUUGUGUUUCACUUUGAGGGAUGGAAGAUCAUGCAUAAGUGUCAGAUUAUCAAUGCCUCCACACCAGCCAAUUGAGCAAAUAGCACCAGGAUUCUUUGCAGCUACUCAACAUGAGGGAUGAAACGAAAUGUACUAAAUGCACAGAGUUCUAGCCUCUGAUUUCAACCCUUACAGCUGGCAAAAAGAUGCACAAAUAAAUCCAAGGCAUUGCUUUGGGGUCAUCAGAAAAUAAGCCAAGAACCUACCAGCAUCUGGAUUUAAAGUGGCUCAUGUCAAAAGUAAGUUCCGAUAAGUGUAAGAAACAAAUUAAACAUUCACAGUGAUGGUCAAAUGAUAAAUGAAAUGAGCGUAAAACUGAAAACUUAAUCAAAACCAACCCACAUGGGGAAAUUACAAACUAACUUGAAAGAGCUAAACCUGGUUCUUUACUGGGUACGUCAAAGUUAUCACAAAGGACGCCAAACAGCUGCCACCUUGGAUCGGUCAACAAGCUUUUAAGUUACUUCACCAAAGCGAUGGCUUUCUUGGCUUGUGAGGCCAAAAUCACAUUGUGGGUUAUCAGUUGAGUAGUCCUUCUCCAUCCUCUCUUCUCACCCUUCUCAUCUUCCCUUUCUACUCCUCACUCUGACUCCUCCCUCAUCACUUGACUGGCUGUAGGCAGUUCUCAUCAUGGUGUUUCAGUUUCUUUUUGGCUCAGAGGGUGCAGACUGCCAUGUUAACCUUCCAUAAAACUGUGUAUAAAAGACUUAGCAUGUUAGUCAAACAAACAAUAAACUGACUUCUUCUCAA